CCUACGGGAGGCAGCAGUGAGGAAUAUUGGUCAAUGGACGCAAGUCUGAACCAGCCAUGCCGCGUGCAGGAAGACGGCUCUAUGAGUUGUAAACUGCUUUUGUACGAGGGUAAAUCCCGAUACGUGUAUCGUGUUGAAAGUACCUUACGAAUAAGGAUCGGCUAACUCCGUGCCAGCAGCCGCGGUAAUACGGAGGAGUCAAGCGUUAUCCGGAUUUAUUGGGUUUAAAGGGUGCGUAGGCGGUUCGAUAAGUUAGAGGUGAAAUCCCGGGGCUCAACUCCGGCACUGCCUCUGAUACUGUCGGGCUAGAGUUUAGUUGCGGUAGGCGGAAUGUCUGGUGUAGCGGUGAAAUGCAUAGAGAUCAUGCAGAACACCGAUUGCGAAGGCAGCUUACCAAACUACGACUGACGUUGAGGCACGAAAGCGUGGGGAGCAAACAGGAUUAGAUACCCCAGUAGUC
Molecule: ribosomal RNA, 460 nt
Filed under: uncultured bacterium
Lineage: Bacteria
Description: partial 16S ribosomal RNA
Rfam family: Bacterial small subunit ribosomal RNA
Source: RNAcentral